CCCGAUAGCCUCGGGACGGGAUGUGAUCCGCCUCGAGCGGAUUGAACCACCAA
This is a regulatory RNA element of Halanaeroarchaeum sulfurireducens, 53 nucleotides long. It matches the Rfam family "eL15-Euryarchaeota ribosomal protein leader". Lineage: Archaea; Methanobacteriati; Methanobacteriota; Halobacteria; Halobacteriales; Halobacteriaceae. The record is from Rfam.